GAUGAACGCUGGCGGCGUGCCUAAUACAUGCAAGUCGAGCGAACAGAUGAGAAGCUUGCUUCUCUGAUGUUAGCGGCGGACGGGUGAGUAACACGUGGGUAACCUACCUAUAAGACUGGGAUAACUCCGGGAAACCGGGGCUAAUACCGGAUAAUAUUUUGAACCGCAUGGUUCGAUAGUGAAAGACGGUUUCGGCUGUCACUUAUAGAUGGACACGCGCCGUAUUAGCUAGUUGGUAAGGUAACGGCUUACCAAGGCGACGAUACGUAGACGACCUGAGAGGGUGAUCGGCCACACUGGAACUGAGACACGGUCCAGACUCCUACGGGAGGCAGCAGUAGGGAAUCUUCCGCAAUGGGCGAAAGCCUGACGGAGCAACGCCGCGUGAGUGAUGAAGGUCUUCGGAUCGUAAAACUCUGUUGUUAGGGAAGAACAAAUUUGUUAGUAACUGAACAAGUCUUGACGGUACCUAACCAGAAAGCCACGGCUAACUACGUGCCAGCAGCCGCCGUAA
This 514-nucleotide ribosomal RNA is filed under the name uncultured bacterium. Its description in RNAcentral is "partial 16S ribosomal RNA". It matches the Rfam family "Bacterial small subunit ribosomal RNA", at positions 28 to 523 of the family's 1533-position model. The record is from RNAcentral.